Molecule: long non-coding RNA, 215 nt
Filed under: Elaeis guineensis (African oil palm)
Lineage: Eukaryota; Viridiplantae; Streptophyta; Magnoliopsida; Arecales; Arecaceae
Description: long non-coding RNA (EGUI_LNC041193)
Source: RNAcentral
AUCAUAUCUACUGAUUUAAAAGAGACCUAAACCUAAAUCUUCUCACUAAAUAUUAAGUCUAGAGAUCUUCCAUCAUUAUAGAGAUGUGGGUGCCUUCCUAGCAUUAAUCGUUCUUGACUGAUUACAGUGGUUCGAUUGCAUCGAAAAGGUAUAACCACUCUAUUGGUAUUUGAUGUCUCGUGGUAGAGAUGGGGUUAGGCUCAAUAACUGUUAGG